Long non-coding RNA from Xiphophorus couchianus (Monterrey platyfish), 5141 nucleotides. RefSeq lists it as uncharacterized. Lineage: Eukaryota; Metazoa; Chordata; Actinopteri; Cyprinodontiformes; Poeciliidae. The record is from RefSeq and is a predicted model, not a curated record. The transcript has 3 exons.
GAAAUUAGAACUUGCAGGUCAGGCUUUUUAAAGAUCGGUAAUCGGCUGGAAAACUUCAAUUGGUGCAGCCCUACUUGGGCUCAUCUGGACUUAUCCUUUAACUUUUAUUUGACAGUACUAGUUGAUGAGCACUGCCCAUCUGAGACUGGUCUGACCUGAUUUAAGUCGUGGUCAAUGGAAAGCUAAAUAAAAAUGAAAUGAGGCAGAAUCGUGCUUACCGCGACUAAAUGACUGAAUGAUCUCAGAAUCUACUGAGCUUCUCUGUUGCUCACACUUUUAGUUUUAUCAUGCUCUUAGGCUAUAUGCACAGUAAAGUGAAAGAGCUCAUAAUGGGGAAUGGCUGAGGGCAAAGGUUCUGUUCUGAAUCAUAGCAGCAGAACCAUGGAGGUCAAACAGUCUUUGCUGGGAUCCAAAUGAAAGAGCAGAUUAAAACCUUCAGCCCUAAAAUAGCAGAGAGCAGAGAGCAGUGGUGGCCUGAAGAUCUGUUAACGUUUGUGUUCUGACAAAUUGGUGGUUGCUUGUGGUGAGCAGCAGCAGCCGCCAUCUUGGCUUCAGUUACUCUGCUGUUUAGCUGUGAAAACAAGCAGCCACAAAGAGUCUCAUGUUAGAUCCAAAUUGGGCUUUUCAGCCACAGCAGAGAGCAGUGAAGUAGUAAAGUGUUCUGAUCCAACUGUAUCCUGAUUGUUUACGGCAGACAUAUUUACUGCACGACCACAACUGACUGCUUCUGUGUUUAUACUCUGUCUCUUCCUCUCCUCCAAAUGCCCGGAUGACCUUUCACCCCGAGCCUGCCUCUGAUCCUCUGAUGGGCUCUACCUGCUAAAGAAAAGUGCCUCUUCUCCACUGUCACCCCAUGCUUCCUCAGGAUGAGACAACACUAUCCUGAGUAAAUACAAAAACUGAUUAUGAGGAUUUAACUUAAUAAGUUUAAAAACUAUUUACAAUUUAUUUGUAUUUAUUGAGUAUUUAUUUAACCAGAAGGAUUCUUGAGGAUUUGCUCUGUUGCUGCUACCCCAACAGAUGACAGCAGAAGAGAUGAUGCUCUCAACAGACUGUAGAAGAUCUGGAGCAACUUGCAGCAAACCUUGAAGUCCAGUAUGCUCUGUCCCUUCUUAAAGAUGCUUCACUGUUUUGUCUCCAGUACAGACUGCUGUCCUUGUGAACACUGAGGUAUUUAUAUUCCUAAACCGUCUCCACUUCACGUUGUGGCUCUUUGCAGCCCCAAAGCUUUGAAAUUCCUUUACAACCCUUCUCAGACUGAGACAGGUCAGUGACUAGUUUACAGCCAUGAAUGACUGAAUAUUACUGGAAUGAACUCAACUGAUUUGAACUAAAUUUGCUCCAAACUGAAUAAAAUACAACUAAUAAUCAGCAAAUUAUGAGUUGGACCAGUUUGUCUUGGUGUCUCGGUGACCGGAGUGGGUGAGAAGCUCUCCGGGUUUCCAAACUCAUUCAUGAUCAAACCUAUGUGUACUAAGGUUCACACACACCUGACUGAGUAAGCUGCAGCCUGACUCAUGUGAGGAAAGAGCAGGAUUACUGCAGGGUGACGUAACAGGAUCGUCUCUCUGCCGACACAUUACUCACCUGCCAAGAUAUGAAACAAACCUCCUUUCAUUAAUUAAUUGAUGAAAUGAAGGAAAAUGUAAUCAAUGGUAUUUAUGGUUGCUUUUUACCUCACAAAUUAAUCAAAUGAACUUUGUUGGAGCUCAUGUUGGUUUGUUGGCAUGAAUCCUUUAAGGCAUCAACUUACUUCAGCAUUAACAGACACUGAAAUCUGCUUUAAUCAAGUUCUAACAUUUUAACUCUGCAGGACGGAGCUUUGUCACUGAAGAAGACGUCAUGAAUUCUUUCUUGGACUGAGGAACCCAAUCGCCAUGGUGCUGAUCUUAAUCUGUUUGAACCCACACUGAGCUCUACAGUCAUGAUUUGUCUGCAGAUUCAUUUCCUAAAUAAAACAUCCAAAUGAAGACUAUAGUGGGAUGUGAUACUAUCCAUUUACUCAGAGGUUUUUACAUCCGCCAACAAACAAAGUGCUCUGCAUCCACCGGACUAGUACAGAGCUCAUAUCUGAGCCUGGAGUUACAAACUGGAACAGACAUGUUUUAGCACUUCACUGUGACAAACAUGAGGAACAUGGAAUACUGGGGAAUGUUCUCAAACAACACACAGGAUGGAAGCAGUGCUAGGAUCCUAGCUGAUUAGCAUGGCUAAAGUAAUGAAACCAGAAAGUCUUAGUCCACUCAGAAGUUCCUCCUUCAGUGACUCAAAGGGAGUAAAGGGAUCUGUUCAGACCUGUUGCAUAUUCUCCAACAAUAACCAUCCUCAGGUUUCCCAGCAGAGACCGUCACCCGUCCCCUCCCUCUCUGACACACCCACCCUGUGAGGAGUGUCUCCGGCACACAGAGAAACCACAGCAUGUUCUCCCCUCAGACUGCUGCUCACACACUUUGGUUUUUUUUUAAAAGAAGGAACUGCAGAUGAUUUGCAGUUUCCCUAUGAGAGAGCAUGGCUUAAUUCACACACAAAGAAACCUUCCAGCUCAUCAAAAAGCCCAGAGCUGAUACAAUGCAGCGAUGCACCUUCCAUCCAUCCAGUCACUUACUACACCAGUCUGCAAUUCCCUAUACAGAGCUGAGAGUGAUCUCUAAUUAACAUGACAUGCACCUCUUCCUCACUAUGGGUGGGAAAAAAAGCAUCUGGAAAAAGCUGGAACAUCAGUACAGAUGUUUAAGUUAUAACUUUUAGAGUUUAUGGUCUCUUCAUUUACAGGACAGAAAAUAUAGGAGUUAACCUGACUGGACCUACUUUUUGUGUAUUAAAGAGUUAUCAGCCUGUGUAACAUUUAGUAUAGAAUGGCAUUAAAUUGAUUUGAAAAUAAAUUACUUUUUUCCAGACUGAACUGUUUAAAAUAAUUAAAUCUAUUGGAAAAAAAGGGUUUUCUUCCCGUUUUUGGUCCAGAUGGUGAUGCUAUAACCCUUUAGAAUUAGUCAAGAGGAAAUAAUCUAAUCUGUUUUAUCUUCAGACAAAACAUCUUGCCUCGCUCCACUUCAGGAUCUGCGAGUUACCAUGGCAACGACCUCAAGGCCAGCAUGAAGAUUCACAACCAAAGCAAGAAAACACUUACUGCCACUUUAAAUGAAACAACUGAUCUCAUGUUUUCUCUCUCUAUUUCAUCUAACAGAUUACAAGAUGUUCUUGUUCUGAAGGACAAACAGAUGGACCCACGUAGGUGAUGACAUCAAGAUUCUGUCUCCAUCAUGUUCCUUACCAGGAGAAGGGCAGCUGUUUUGGGUUAUGGGUUAGGUUGAGGACUAAGGUGUGAAUUAAGCAGAGGUUAGGUUAAGGGUUAGGGUCAGGCUAUAGAAAUGAAUGGAAGUCAAUGGAAAGUUUCUGUGAAGACAGAAAGUGUUAUGGCAGAACCAUGAAAGCAGCCUGCAGUGCCACUGUGUGAACGUCUGGGAUGAUUUAUUGUGAACUGAUUCUAUAUAACUGAACUGAACUGGAUUUUGUAAUCCUUCCUGUUUGGUACUUGAGGCUGGCGUGGGUGUCUCUUACAGUUCAGUGACUUGUUCUGGCCUUUAUCUCACAUCUGUGAUGACCUCCAGGUCCUGUAUGGCCAGUAUUUCCUCUUUAAUUGACUUUAGACGCAACUUUUGGAACUUUUUGUCUCUUCACAAAAGCCUGCUACUCUGAUCCCAAAAUGACACUGUAUCCAUGGCAAUCCAUGUACUACUCUGAAACCUGUCAGCUGAUCUGAGCCAAUGCAGAGGAGAACAAGCUGCUUCCAUCUAAACUCACCAAUAAAUGACUUCAUGCCUCUUUGUGAAUAAAAUUCACUGAUCAGUUCGUGGGAUUUGGUUUAUUUGCAUAGUUCUAAUCAUAAUUAGCACUUGUCUCAUGUUAAAUGUUUUAUUUCAAUGUUCAGUUGGUUUUAGUCUCUUCCUCAUUAUUGAUACUUUCAGACGAUAAAAUGAAGAACUAAAAAUGGAAACGCCAACUUUGACUUUUUUCACAUCUUCAUCUUCAUAUUUGUAAUUCAAUAAAAGUGGUUUUGAAGCUAACAGUUAAAAGCUCUGCUUCCUCAAAAUGAAAAAUCUCCUUAUCAAGUUGGAGGGCAGUGGCAGUCUGAAGACUGAGCAGCAGGAAUGUGGGAGCCAAUCAGGACAAACAGAAACUCUGCUUCAUUCAACAUUCACUCUGUCACUGCUGCUGCUGGGAAUAUUUGGAAAAAACAUGAUAUUGUGGAACUUACCCAGACUUGCAUAUUUAUUUUAUUUAUUUUUCUUCUAAAAUCUCAGAAAAACAGUUAAUACAUGUUUGGUGUUGAAAUGUAACAGUCGUGCUACAGUAAAUCUUCUAUAAAUGUCUAAUAACCAAACAGGAGGACAGCAUUCUACUCAGGCUGCAUGCAGUCAGUUAAAGAAAAAAAAAAUAAAUAAAUUAUGAAGUUGUUGGAAGUGACUAAAGAUCUAAUGUUUAAAACAGAAAAAGGAAAACAACCAUAAAAUUGUUAAUGUUUCAGUAAAAUGUGUUCCCAGGAGGAUUUUGGCAUGGGGAUGAUUUAAUAAGUCAUCCAUGUUGCUUCAGUUGCUAAACUUAAGCUUGAGGCAGAAACAUGAGCCUUCAGCCUGAACAUGUUCAAACUGCUACCAGGCUCAGGUUCAUCACAAAUAUACAUGUGAAACAAAUGAGUGCCGGAGCAGCCUGAGGCUAAAGCCACGCCACAGCUGAGAGGACAGGCCUCCUCUGCUCUGCUCUGCUCUGCUCUCUGAUGCACAGGCUGCCGCUCCAGAGUCAUUUAAAUAAGACUGGCUGCGUCUGAGUGCCCUGCUGCUCAGAACCUCAGGAUAAUCCCAGCAGAUCCUGUAACUGGAUUAAGAGUCCGACCAAGAUCUACAGCAAGAGUGAAAGUCCUGUGACAAGCAGCUGCAGCCACACGUGUCUUCAGGGGUAGAGGACACACACACACACACACAUACACACACACACAUACACAUUUUACCACCUAAAGUACAUAGAGCAAACAGCUUGUUAAUCAUUUAACAGAUCUACUGAAGCCUUUCUCUCUAUCUGGUUCAAGGAAAAAAUUUUACCAUCUGAAUCUAAAUCAUUUUACUACAAAAGAUUUCUUGUUUACU